This is an RNA transcript of Diabrotica virgifera virgifera (western corn rootworm), 9958 nucleotides long. It is a transcript of the gene named segment polarity protein dishevelled homolog DVL-3, with no coding region annotated. Lineage: Eukaryota; Metazoa; Arthropoda; Insecta; Coleoptera; Chrysomelidae. The transcript has 15 exons. The record is from RefSeq and is a predicted model, not a curated record.
GAAAAAGUCCCUAGAUCGCACAAUGAUAUUAUUGUGGCCGCCAUGUUGAGUGUGUUAUUGCUUCUGUCAGAAAAGUAAUAAUUUUGUAAAAUAGUGCAUGAAAAAAUGGAAGAAACGAAAGUUAUUUAUCACAUAGACGACGAAGAAACCCCGUAUUUAGUAAAGAUACCAAUAGCCCCGGAUAAAGUGACUUUAGUGGAUUUUAAAAAUGUUCUCAACAGGCCUAACUACAAAUUUUUCUUUAAAUCGAUGGACGACGAUUUUGGUGUCGUAAAAGAAGAGAUCAUUGAAGAUUCAGCAAAUUUGCCAUGUUUUAAUGGACGAGUAGUUAGUUGGUUGGUUUCAGCCGAAGGCUCAAAUCAAUCAGAUGGCGGUUCUCAAUGUACAGACAGUGUGACACACCAAUCAGAAUCUAGGUUACCUCCUGCGAUAGCAGACUCAGUUUGUACUGAUACAGAAAGUAUUAUAAGCUCAAGACAGGGUAGAAGACAUCACAAAUACUCAUCUCGUAUUAACGGACAUCUUCCAAGAGUAUAUGAAUCUGCAUCUGUGCUUAGUUCAGAUUUGGAAACAACCAGUUUUCAGUCGGAAACCACAGGAAGGCAUACUGUCCUAUCAGAAUGUUCCAGUGUUAGUAGGUUACAUGUGGCAAGUAGAAAAAGACCUCAAAGGCGACGGAAACAGCGGUUACAGCCAAUGUCCAGAACAAGUUCUUACUCAAGUAUAACAGAUUCUACCAUGUCCUUAAAUAUAAUUACAGUUACUCUAAAUAUGGAUACAGUGAAUUUCCUUGGUAUAUCUAUAGUGGGCCAGAGCAAUAAAGGGGGAGAUGGUGGUAUAUAUGUCGGAUCUAUAAUGAAAGGGGGGGCAGUAGCUUUAGAUGGUAGGAUAGAGCCAGGUGAUAUGAUAUUACAGGUGAACGAUGUAAAUUUUGAAAAUAUGUCAAAUGACGAAGCUGUAAAAGUAUUAAGGGAAGUUGUACAAAAACCAGGACCCAUUAAGUUAGUAGUUGCCAAAUGUUGGGAUCCGAAUCCCAAGGGAUACUUUACAAUACCAAGAACAGAACCUGUUAGACCUAUAGACCCUGGUGCAUGGGUGGCACACACAGCUGCAGUGCGAGGCGAUCCAGUAGCAAGGCCACCUAGUAGUUCAACAGUCUCCAGCUCAUCAAUUGCCAGUACAAUACCAGCCAAUGAACGAGAAUGUCUCAUAGGUCCUGACAUGGAAGAACCACUAUCUGUCAACUCUCCGAUGUCUCAAGUGGUGCAAGCCAUGCAGAGGCCCGACAGCGGUUUGGAAAUCAGGGACAGAAUGUGGCUGAAGAUCACGAUUCCUAAUGCAUUUAUCGGCACCGACAUGAUCGAUUGGUUAUUGACGCACGUCGAAGGUUUCACAGAGAGGAGGGACGCCAGAAAAUACGCUUCUCACCUUCUCAAAGCAGGCUUCAUCAGACAUACCGUGAAUAAGAUCACUUUUUCGGAACAAUGUUAUUACAUAUUCGGUGACCUUUGUUCAGCGAUUACCAACCUCAAAAUACAGGGUGAUACAGAUAGUGUGGGACCUUUACCAAAUGUUCCUAACUACAUGCCAUAUAGCGGUACAUACAAUCCACUGGAGUACAUGCCGAUGCCAUUUUAUAGUGAGAAUACAGUAUACGGUUACAAUAAGGAAGAAUCAGUGUUAAGUGGAAGCGGCGGUUCGUCUGGCGGUUCUGAACACUUGAAAGACACGGCAGCUGGUCAGAGCAGCGCUUCGGACAGCGACAUCACCUCGUUGGGUCCGCGCUCCGCCGCAGGGCCGAAGACUUCGGGGAACGGCAACGGCAGCUCCAACGGCUCCGAGCAGAGCAGCGGAACACAAGUAGCGACCAACCCACAGUCUAAAGACAUUGCCGGUAGUAGACAAUCUUUUAAGAUUGCCAUGGGCAAUCCAUGCGAGAUGUUUGUUGAUGUUAUGUAGAAUGUGAUUGAUUGAUUUUUGUAUUUGUAUUGAGUAGAUGCUAAAAAAUGUGUUCAAAAUCAACUUUUGAGCGCGAGAGACGAAGUUGUUCACCAGUACCCCAGAAAACGAAGCCGAAAAAGCACUUAAAAAUAGAAAACUUACUGGCCGCUAUUUUUAAAAUUGAAUAGCUGGGGGAAGUCCAUAGAAAAGGCGUACCAUCCCGUCGGUAUCGAAAUUUUUGCUGCAUCAUGGUCUUUUAUUAAACGUUAAGCAAAAAAGCGACUUAUUUCAUUCAUUUCAAUACAUAUUGCAAAAAAACUACGCAUUGUAGAUGAAAAUGUUCAACAGCUGACUUAUUAAAAAUGUUUGCUCUUGAAAAUGGAACUUUCGGAUACAGGGUGGUAAAUUGGCAAACGGGCCAUAGGAAACUCAAUGUAAAAUUCUAAACUGUUGAAUUCCUGCUUCCCUAAUUAUUUUACAUCAAAAGACAUUAGAAACUAUUUGUAGACGGUUGAAAUCUGUAUUGAAAACAACUAUUAAAAUUGUUCUACGAAUUAAACAUAUUCCAAAAUUUUGUAAAAAUGUAAUACAUUUUUCAGUUUUUCAGCCCAAAAUUAGGCCACACACAGUGCAAUAAUGUGUCACAAUGAAGUUAUUAUUUUCAUAUUUUUGAACUGUCAAUAUUUUUAUUUUAUCAUUUAUUGUUUAAAAACAAUACAGUUGAUAAGAUACUCCUCAGUUGCGGAAAAAGUAUUAAUAAUGAAGAUUUUUUUAUUUAGUCAAUGGUGUAACUGUCAGUUAAAUAGUAACGUGUGGCCUAACUUUUACACACAUACCUACUGUGUCAAAUGUAUUAUAUUUUUCAAAAUUUUGGAAUGCGUUUAAAUCGUAGAACAAUUUUAACUUUUGAUUUUAAUACAGAUUUCAAUCCUCUACAAAUAUUCUCUCAUGACUUUUGAUGUAAAAUAAUUAGGGAGCAGAAAUUCAACAGUUUAGAAUUUUACAUUGAACAAUAUUAAAUGUACUAUAAGCUAUAGUAUUUUGCCCAUUCUUUCCUACCAAAGCAUGAUAUUGUGUAUUAUUGACCUGUAGCAUUUUUGAACUCGAAGGUCCAGCUUCAUUUGCUGUUCUGAGAUUUUAGAUCAACUUCUGGUGGUGACUGGAAUCCAGCUGCAGAUUUGGUUUUAGAGAGCUUGCAUUUGAGUGACCCGUUAAUUUAAUUAACUCCUGUUCAGAAACACCUUGCUUGAACAAGGCUGGAAGAUCGGUGAGAAUGGUUUGUUAUUUUAUGUUUUUUUGUCUAUUCCAAUUUUUUCAGCUGACAUUUUUGUCCACCUAGAUACGGUGUUGAUUCCAGUUUCAAGUGGACAGUUUUUGAACCAAAAUUCAUCCUUCCAGUUAGGGUGAACGGUAAGAAAGAGUCUAUCUGAUAAAAUCUUUGGUCCCUUUUUUUCCAAUAAUUUCAAAAAUAAUCUAACUGGGCAUAAAAAUUUUCGUUUGAUAAUUUUCUCACCAGCCAUUUGCUGCGUGCCAAAUUUUUCGAACUGCCUUCAAUUUGUUUUGGAAAAAAUGCUGUUGUAUUCAAUUCGGCCCGUAAAUUCUCCCAUAACAUCAAAUUCCUUCUGGAAAAAGUGAAUCUUCCAGUUUACUGCCUCAUUGUCUCUCCAAGCAAGUUCAAAUGAGCAAAGGUGAAAAAACUUUUUUGUGCUCUAUCGAAGGUUUCCUCGUUUUAACUUUGGAUGAUUUUUAAUGGUUCUUCGGUGGAUAAUGCUUUUGAACUGAGUUUUCUUUUUUGUUGAACACUUCGAAGCUGCCUCCGCUUGGUAUAUCUGGCCAAUCUUGCACAUUUGAAAGAUAUAUCUGUGAAAGGGUCGAUUUUUAUGCCGUACUCCGUAAAAUAUUUUUCUUGUACCAUUUUUGCUGUAGUAUUCCACAUUGACUUUACAGACGACUCUUUAUAGUCUUCGCCAUUGCCUUUUUUCAUGGUAAAGGCAUAAUCUUUGAGAAUUUUUGCUAGUUCCGUUCCGUUAAACAUCUUUCAAGCGUAAAAUUUCUCACCCGUAGGAACUCCGAAAAUUAGGUCCAAAUAGAGCUUCUGGACCUCUGCGUGUUCAAUGGGACAUUUUCCGAAACCAAUUUUUGGAUUUCUUCACCUGACUGGCAUCCAAAUCUUGAUUUUUCGUCUGUAUUCAUUAUAUCAAUCUGUCCAAAAUUGAUUACGCCUCAACUCGGGCGCCCAUAUAAAAAUUUUGAGGGAGGGGCCAGACGUAAAGAUGUUGCACAUUACAUUUUGUAUAUUUUGGAUAGCUAUAAUAUACAGUUUAAAGCACACGAAAAGCUAGGGGGCCACGCCCCCCUCCCUGCCUAUGACAAAUGACGUUUGUCAAACUGGCAACAAUAGUAUUACCAGACACCUUCGUGACGGAUCUGUCAUAAUUUUGUCGCUGAGAAAUCACAGUCAGGAAGGAGUUUGGUCAGUAGACGUUUGCUAUGACGUUUUAUCCGUUAAAAAUAGUCUAGUGCAAUAUUGAAAUGAAUAAAAAGUCGCUUUUUUGCUUAAAUUUUAUAAAAAACCAUGACGCAUUAAACAUGUCGAUACCCACGGGUUGGUGCGUCUUUACUAUUGAUUUGUCCCAGGUAUUCCAGUUAAGAGAAGCUGCCAAUAAUUUUUCAAUUUUUAAAUGUUUCGUUUCCUGGGGUAGAACAUUACUUUGUACAAAGUAAACUAUAAAGAAAUUGUGGACAAUUUCAGAUUUUUAACAUUUUAUAUUAUGAAUUUGUUUUAAAAACAAUUUUAAUAAUAUUUUUACAAAACAUUGAAGACGAUGUUUGUUUUGAUACUUGGUAUAUUUAAAUUUUUCCAAAAAGUGUUCAUGUGGUGUGAAAACAUAAGAAUACAAGAUAGUAUGCUGGAAUACUAACUAAAGUCAUGUUAUUUUUGAAUUUACGUCGACGGUAAAAUUAAAAUUUACGGCAAAAUUUAAUGGUAUGCAUAAUAAAUAAAAUGUAUACCAUUUUUAUUCAGUUGCAAUGCGAAGGCAAAACAAGUCAUCAUCGGAGAGGCGUAGGCCUGCUGCUCUCUGCUCGAAGUGACCAAACCAUGAAAGUUUAUCCCCGGAUUGCAACUGACGUGCAUGGAGUAGGUGACUAGCGUCAUCUGGCAACUGAAAGGUAAAGUUUUCAAUCCUAAUAGCAACAUUAAUAAUAUUGAAAAAUAUUAAAAAUAUUACUAAAAGAUUUUUAAAUUGAAAACUUAUUGGUCCAUUUCCCUGGUGACACCUCCAAGGCUUCUAAAAUUUGCAAGCCAGAUAGAUGCUGCAGUAAAGACAAGAGGCAAUUCUAAAAAGUUGCAAUUCACAACCCCCGUCUGCAGCCCGGACUGCAGUCCCACGGACUGCGCUCCCUGUUCUAAGUGAAAAAAAAUUAGAUUGUUUUGCCUUCGCAUUGUAUCUGAAUAAAAAUGGUAUACAUUUUUAUUUAUAUUAGUAUUACUCCUAUAGAGUAACUAGGUUCAUUUUCCGUUGGAACUUUACCAAGCUGCAGACGGGGGUUGUGAAUUGCAACUUUUUAGAAUUCCCUCUUGUCUUCACUGCAGCAUCCAUCUGGCUUGUAAAUUUUAGAAGCCAUGGAGGUGUUACCAGGGAAAUCGACCAAUAAGUUUUCAAUUUAAAAACCUUUUAGUAAUAUUUUUAAUAUUUUUCAAUAUUAUUAAUGUUGCUAUUAGGAUUGAAAACUUUACCUCUUACCUUUUUGUAUGCAUAAUAACUUAUGAAUACGAAAAGUUUGCGAUGAUUUCGGAAUGUCAUAUUUUUCCGAAUGCUUUUACUGCAAUACUGCAAAGGAAGUACUGUAACUAGAUACUUCAGUAUCUACUUACUGUAGAUACUGUAAGUAAUACUGUAAUGUAUACUGUCUUUUGAGCCUUUCUCUGCCAAUUUUUGACAUAAACCUUGAUAAACAAAAUUACAGAAUGGAAUCCGAUGGAAAGAAGAAAAACUGGACGAUCUCAAAGAUCAUUAUGGAUGUUGCUUUGACGUCGCUGGACGUCAAAGUACAAAGAAAAAAGAGGCUCCAAAUAGUAUCAAAGGCGUUUUGAAGAAAGUGUGGUAGAGGAAUGCUGAGAGGAAGAUGGGCGGACUGCGUUGCAGAGGACUUGAGACAGAAAGGUUUAAAUUAAGAAGACACGAUAGACAGAAAUAAGUGACGAAGAAGAGUAAGUAAUAGCGAUCCCUGAAGAAGAAGAAGCUGAGGAAGAAUAAGAAAGGUAGUCAGUAUGCUAGACUUUCCGAAGAGCGUAGUAGAUAUAUAAAAGGGGAGAUAUACAAUUAUUGCAUAUGAAAUUAAGAAAAUCCAAUGUGGCGUUUAGUCUCUUCGGAGUGGAUUAAGUCGUUUAAAAACUUUCACGAGAGCUGUAAUAGUGUUCUGGAGGAUAUAAUGGCACGUCUAGACUUAGGCUAGGCUUUGGGUCAUUAUUAUCUUUCCAAUUUUAAUAGCUUGGCUCCAGUAGAGCCUAAUUACAUCUUAAUUAGUCUCUAAAAGGCUUUGCAACUUGAUGAAAUAUCAAAAAAAGUAGCUUUUGCGGUAUUCAAAUUCACUAAUUUUACUCACACUACGCAUUACGUUAUAGCUUUGUUCGCGGAGCCGAUCACUGACUAGUCCACGACAAAAUCGCAUGCGUACUUAUAAUUCCACUCUUUUCACCUCCAAAUAAGUAAAACCAAAGAUAAAUUUCCCGGUAACUAGUUAUCCGGAGGUGAAAAGACCGGUCCUUAAUGUAUUAUUUAUAUUAUUUUUAAGUGUGCAUGCGAUUUUGUCGUGACUUAGUCAGUGAUCGGCUCCGCGAACAAAGCUUAUAAUCUGAUUGCGAAAUCAAGAGUAGAGUCGGUUCGCUAAACUCAAGACACAACUGGCUAGUGAUUUUAGUAGGUAAGUAAUUUUGCCAAUUUUACUAAAUUGUUACUACAAAAAAAAUAUUACUAAAUUGUUAAUAAUUACUAAAUAGAUAGCAAUUUUGGCAAAAUUGGCCAAAAACAAAAAAAAUUACCUACUAAAAUCACUAGCCAGUUGUAUCUGAGUUUAGCGAACCGACUAUACCAAGCCAAUGGCCUUAGUUAUCGAGGCAUUUACGCUACAUUUAAAAAAAAAUCACCAAUUGCUAGUAAUAUUUUGCAAUAUGUUCGUAAACUGCAAAAGUUAGUAGAAACAAGUUUAUUUUACUUGGUUUUUCAGCUUACUACUUGUAUUCCGGUUUUAAUCGAUAAAAAAACAAGUAUUUUUUGGCGGCUUUUUUUUUAAAUACUAUUAAAUUUUGUUAUGUCAAUACUUGCAAAGAAAGAUCGCAAAAUCCGUUAAAAAGAAAAGUUAACCUCAAAGGUUAUUUUACUUUCCACAAGAACAUAGUCACAAAGGAAAUAAAUGACAUAUUUCCUUUAUGAUUUGCCAUUUGCCAGUCAAUAGGUUUGUUCUAGAAUCACUUUCAAACGGUUUAAAAUUAUCAGAAGCAUGCGCAUUUGUUUGAUGGCGUUCAAGCACACGAAUUACCUACUAUAUAGUUUGAAACUACUAGUCGACGUUUUUGAUUUGGAGACUGGUUUAAAACGGUCAAAAGAGUUUACGGAUUUUGUUCGGAUAUUCAGUUUGCGACUUGCGCAGUUAAAUUACUUAUUUGAGGUAUAUAGAUUUUAAAUAAAAAUAAUAUGUUUUUGGACUGUUGCUUAGGUAACAUUAUUUACGUUUAUAACAAUAAUUUCAAUAUUUAGCAUAAAUCUUAAAAAUUUGAAUACUGAUAAGAACAUAGAGGUAUAUAUUAAAAUAGAAUGAGCCUACCCUCCACGCUUCCUGACGACAAGAUCUCUUCUACUGGUUUGGUGCUAUGUCUUUCUAGCACAUUGUAUCGAAAAACUAAGAUGACACUAAGUGUAAGUAUAGGCACGGAAGGGGAGGACUACUGUCGCAUCUUUAUAAGAGUGAAACAGCUCUGAGCCAAAUAAAAAACAUGGUGUCGUCACUUCGCUCUGAAUGACACUCUGUCUAUGAUAUAAGUCUGUGGAUAAGAAGAAUGUAUUUCUAAUCUAACCUCAAAAUUAUAAAUAAAAACAAACAUGAACCAGUCACAUUUGACAUAGGUAUUUUCUCCGAUAAAAUAGCGUUCUGGCAAAAAACAGUUUGCUACCAGUUUGUGGAUUGAACAUGCGCUGUAAAGCAGUACAAUACCUGGUGUCAAACCGCAUGCUAGAACAAACCUAAUAUGUUACAAAAUAUUAACUAUCGGGACCAAUAAGAAAUGUCUUUUCAUGCCAACUUCCAUCGUUUACAAAUUGUUAUUUAUUUUUCACGGAUUUUCAUCUUUCUUUUAAGUUAUUACAUCAAACAAAUAAAAUGUGCAAUAACUCAUUGCCCAAUGCGAGUGGCACCUUUCAAAUUUUAUUUAAAAUAGGUUUAAACAUACGAUUUCGUAAGGCAGCUAAUAUGAUUUUUAGUUUUUUUUUUUGAUAAAUUUUAACACAAUAUUUUCAAAAUAUGAUUAAUCUGGAUUAUUAUUUUUUCGUUGCUACGCCGAACUUGCGUAUUUGUAAGAGAUUUUUAAAGAAAAACUUUGCAAAUAUAGUUUCAACUUCUGUAAAAAAAAGUUAUACAAAUAAUUUAUUUUUCGUAAUUGUAAGCUAUUAAGUUAUAUGCGAUAUUACUGGAAAACGGUUUAAAAAAUUGUUUAUCAGGACACAAGUCACAAAUACCAAGCUAUAACUAUUAAAUUUUCUAAAAAUCACAAGCACAAAGUGAAAACGAUAGACAAAUUAGGAUAAUAACUUAUGAAUAGAAAAAGAAAAGGCUGAUUUUGAUAAAAAUACAAUUUACUAUAUUUGGAAACUACAUUUUUUUGAUAUUGUUGAUCACUUUAAAAAGUACUGUAGUAAUAAUACGUGGUGUGCUAUUUCAAAGUUAUAAUAUAUUUUCGUUAUGUUAAAAUUAUAAAUCUAGAUUUUUUCCCAAUUUAAAAAACACACAUUAAUAGGGCUCUUCGUCGAUUGACAUUUGUUUCGAGCUUCUGUCAUAUGUUGUAUAAACUGUGUAUAAUGUUGAUAUACACGGAGUGACACGGAUUAUACGACAUAUGACAGGAGCUCGAAACAAAUGACUGUUGUUGAAAAGCCCUGUAGGUGGUAUUGAACCUCUAAUCUGUUGUAGCCUGUUGUAGCUUACAUAUUUAUCUUGAGAGCAUAAUGUAGCACCGCCCACCAAAGUCAUUUAUAGUUGACAGCUGACAGUGACCAGGUAUGCAUGACACUAACGAUAAACGAAAAUGGAUAUCUAUUUGACCAAAUUUACAUCACAUUUUUUAUAUCUUAUGAUUGGUUCGAGCUGUAGUGUUGCUAGUGACUCACCAGGCAUGAUAUUCUAGCUUAUUGAAAAUAAUCGCCGAUAAACUGCCAAUGCCAGGGUAUCUGUAACAAUAUUUAUUGGAUAAAACUGUUGGAAUACCGCGUUGAUUCAAACAGAUUACAUAUACAGACCACCACUUCCGGCAAACACAGACUGCCAUGAUUCGUAGAGACUAGGAACCAAAUAAAAAUUAAGAAUAACUUGUAAUAUACUGCAAUAUUUGAAGACCCCCUAUGUAAUAUAAAAUAUCCAAUAGAACCUGGUAUUAUUUUUUGAAGAAACCCACCUAUUUAGUGUACCGUGUCUGCUAAGUUAAGUAGGUUUGAAUGGUAGUUUGUAUUAACCAUAUCAGUAGAAAGUUACAGUCUAACAACUUUUCAAUUUUGGAGACAGUUAUCAAUAAAACAACGAGGAAGGGCGUUUCAGAUGAAACGGAUUGGAAAUGGUUUGCUCUGAUCCAGAAGAACGUUUGAAUGUGCCAUCACCUCCUGCUAUACGUAUAUAACUACUUUAGACUUAUUUUAUAAAAAACCCAUGGUUAUGCUUAAAACCCAAAAAGUAGAUGAUAUAUUGUUUCAAAAUUAAACUUUUGUAUAUUUUAUCUAUAUGUAUUUUGUAUUAAAAUAGUAUAUUGAUA